AGUCAAUAGAUACCCAGGUAGUCCAUGCCGUAAACGAUGAUUGCUAGGUGUGGGGGGUCUGACCCCUUCCGUGCCGGAGUUAAACACAAUAAGCAAUCCACCUGGGGAGUACGGCCGCAAGGUUGAAACUCAAAGGAAUUGACGGGGGCCCGGCACAAGCAGUGGAGUAUGUGGUUUAAAUUCGAAGCAACGCGAAGAACCUUACCAGGUCUUGACAUCCACCGAAUCCUGUAGAGAUAUGGGAGUGCCUUUCGGGGAACGGUGAGACAGGUGGUGCAUGGUUGUCGUCAGCUCGUGUCGUGAGAUGUUGGGUUAAGUCCCGCAACGAGCGCAACCCUUGUGAAUAGUUGCUACGAAAGAGCACUCUAUUCAGACCGCCGUUGACAAAACGGAGGAAGGUGGGGAUGACGUCAAAUCAUCAUGCCCCUUAUGACCUGGGCUACACACGUACUACAAUGGUCGUCAACAGAGGGUAAGCAAGACCGCGAGGUGGAGCGAACCCCGUAAAAACCGAUCUCAGUUCAGAUUGCAGGCUGAAACUCGCCU
RNAcentral lists this ribosomal RNA (546 nucleotides) under uncultured bacterium. Its description in RNAcentral is "bacterial SSU rRNA". It matches the Rfam family "Bacterial small subunit ribosomal RNA", at positions 775 to 1317 of the family's 1533-position model. The record is from RNAcentral.